CCUACGGGUGGCUGCAGUGGGGAAUAUUGCACAAUGGGGGGAACCCUGAUGCAGCGACGCCGCGUGGGUGAAGGAGUACUUCGGUACGUAAAGCCCUAUCAGCAGGAAAGCAAAUGACGGUACCUGACUAAGAAGCCCCGGCUAACUACGUGCCAGCAGCGGCGGUAAUACGUCGGGGGCAAGCGUUAUCCGGAUUUACGGGGUGGAAAGGGGGAGUAGACGGGAGUGCAAGUCAGUAGGGAAAGCCCGGGGCUCAACCCUGGGACUGCGCUGGAAACUGAAAAGCUGGAGUGAGGGAGGGGCAGGCGGAAUGCCUGGUGUAGCGGUGAAAUGCGUAGAUAUCAGGAGGAACACCGGCGGCGAAGGCGGCCUGCUGGACCGUAACUGACGUUGAGGCUCGAAAGCGUGGGGAGCAAACAGGAUUAGAUACCCCGGUAGUC
Molecule: ribosomal RNA, 440 nt
Filed under: uncultured bacterium
Lineage: Bacteria
Description: partial 16S ribosomal RNA
Rfam family: Bacterial small subunit ribosomal RNA
Source: RNAcentral